CGCACAUUGCGCCCGCUGGUAUUCCAGCGGGCAUGCCUGUCCGAGCGUCAUUUCAACCCCUCAAGAGCGCCUGAGUAGGGACUCAUCUCCCUUCUCCGGCGGGCUUGGUGUUGGGGCAUAGCCUGUAACAGGGCUAGCCCUCAAAUUCAGCGGCGUGCCCGGUGUUGCUCCCUAGCGCAGUAGUUUCUCAUAACCAUCUCGCCUGGGCCUGCAGCGUCGGCGUGCGGCCGUAAAACCCGCCAUCGUGCAACCAUGCUUUCUGAAAUUUGACCUCGGAUCAGGUAGGAAUACCCGCUGAACUUAA
Molecule: unclassified non-coding RNA, 304 nt
Filed under: Diaporthales sp.
Lineage: Eukaryota; Fungi; Ascomycota; Sordariomycetes; Diaporthales
Description: partial contains 5.8S ribosomal RNA, internal transcribed spacer 2, and large subunit ribosomal RNA
Source: RNAcentral